This 445-nucleotide unclassified non-coding RNA is filed under the name Hevea brasiliensis (rubber tree). The record is from RNAcentral. Lineage: Eukaryota; Viridiplantae; Streptophyta; Magnoliopsida; Malpighiales; Euphorbiaceae.
AAAAAAAAAAAAAGAAAAAGAAACAAAGAACAACCCAAUUGAGGAAAAACCAAAUGGAAAUCGAAUAAGAAAUAUCCAACUUUCUUGCCAACAUGAAAGCCCAAAUUCCAGGCUCAAGGAAAAUCUAAAGGCAUCUACGGUGGUAGCUUAAAGUAGCUGCUUAGUAGCAUGUGUCAUCAAUUGGACCACACCCACAGCCUGCUCCUGCCAUCAAUGUCCUCAAUGUGUUCACAAAAUAAAAAAUAAUAUGAAAGUGAUACUGCUGUGCUGCCCAUGAAUUGAAAGGCUAAUCUAACAGGAAAUUAGGGAGAAAAAAAGAAUAGAAUGAGACACUUGUCCUGCCCUACGUGGGGCCACCUUUAAGAUGCCGUAACUAGCCAGAGCUAAAAGAAAGGAGGCACGCGACGCAAGCACGUGAGAGAGGACACGUCAUCUUUCAUUAAAG